CUACGGGAUGCACCAGUUAGGAAUAAUCUACAAUGCGCGCAAGCGUGAUAGUUUGAGCCAGAGUGUUUUUCAAUGAAAGACUUUUGCCAAGUGUAAAAAGCCUGGCGAAUAAGGACUGGGUAAGACGAGUGCCAGCCGCCGCGGUAAUACUCGCGGUCCAAGUCGCAGCCAUAUUUAUUGGGUCUAAAACAUCCGUAGCUUGCUUGGUAAGUUUCUUGUGAAAUUUUAUACCUCAAAUAUGAAGCGUGCAAGAAGUACUGUCAAGCUAGAGACUGGAAGACGUAAAGAGUACGUUUGGAGUAGCGGUAAAAUGUGUUAAUCCCAGACGGACUAACAAGAGCGAAGGCACUUUACGAGGACAGUUCUGACAGUAAAGGACGAAGGCUAGGGGCGCAAAACGGAUUAGAUACCCUGGUAGUC
This 420-nucleotide ribosomal RNA is filed under the name uncultured archaeon. RNAcentral's name for it is "partial 16S ribosomal RNA". It matches the Rfam family "Archaeal small subunit ribosomal RNA", at positions 323 to 746 of the family's 1478-position model. The record is from RNAcentral.